RNAcentral lists this ribosomal RNA (585 nucleotides) under uncultured bacterium. RNAcentral describes it as "partial 16S ribosomal RNA". It matches the Rfam family "Bacterial small subunit ribosomal RNA", at positions 356 to 1375 of the family's 1533-position model. The record is from RNAcentral.
UGGGGAAUUUGGACAAUGGGCGAAAGCCUGAUCCAGCAAUGCCGCGUGUGUGAAGAAGGCCUUCGGGUUGUAAAGCACUUUUGUCCGGAAAGAAAUCCUUGGCUCUAAUACAGUCGGGGGAUGACGGUACCGGAAGAAUAAGCACCGGCUAACUACGUGCCAGCAGCCGCGGUAAUACGUAGGGUGCAAGCGUUAAUCGGAAUUACUGGGCGUAAAGCGUGCGCAGGCGGUUUGCUAAGACCGAUGUGAAAUCCCCGGGCUCAACCUGGGAACUGCAUUGGUGACUGGCAGGCUAGAGUAUGGCAGAGGGGGGUAGAAUUCCACGUGUAGCAGUGAAAUGCGUAGAGAUGCGGAGGAAUACCGAUGGCGAAGGCAGCCCCCUGGGCCAAUACUGACGCUCAUGCACGAAAGCGUGGGGAGCAAAACAGGAUUAGAUACCCUGGUAGUCCACGCCCUAAACGAUGUCAACUAGUUGUUGGGGAUUCAUUUCCUUAGUAACGUAGCUAACGCGUGAAGUUGACCGCCUGGGGAGUACGGUCGCAAGAUUAAAACUCAAAGGAAUUGACGGGGUCAUAGCUGUUUCCU